GAACGGGGCUUAUGAAGUUUUCGGACGGAGUAAGCCUAGUGGCGGACGGGUGAGUAACGCGUGGGUAACCUGCCCUAUACAGGGGGAUAACAGCCGGAAACGGCUGCUAAAACCGCAUAACAUGCGGGCGGCGCAUGCCGCCUGCAUCAAAUAUUCAUAGGUAUAGGAUGGGCCCGCGUCUGAUUAGCUGGUUGGCGGGGUAACGGCCCACCAAGGCGACGAUCAGUAGCCGGCUUGAGAGAGUGACCGGCCACAUUGGGACUGAGACACGGCCCAAACUCCUACGGGAGGCAGCAGUGGGGAAUAUUGCACAAUGGGGGGAACCCUGAUGCAGCGACGCCGCGUGAGUGAAGAAGUAUUUCGGUAUGUAAAGCUCUAUCAGCAGGGAAGAAAAUGACGGUACCUGACUAAGAAGCCCCGGCUAACUACGUGCCAGCAGCCGCGGUAAU
Molecule: ribosomal RNA, 449 nt
Filed under: uncultured bacterium
Lineage: Bacteria
Description: bacterial SSU rRNA
Rfam family: Bacterial small subunit ribosomal RNA
Source: RNAcentral